UGGGGAAUAUUGGACAAUGGGCGAAAGCCUGAUCCAGCCAUGCCGCGUGUGUGAAGAAGGCCUUUUGGUUGUAAAGCACUUUAAGCGAGGAUGAGGCUACUAGUACUAAUACUACUGGAUAGUGGACGUUACUCGCAGAAUAAGCACCGGCUAACUCUGUGCCAGCAGCCGCGGUAAUACAGAGGGUGCGAGCGUUAAUCGGAUUUACUGGGCGUAAAGCGUGCGUAGGCGGCUAAUUGAGUCGGAUGUGAAAUCCCCGAGCUUAACUUGGGAAUUGCAUUCGAUACUGGUUAGCUAGAGGGUGGGAGAGGAUGGUAGAAUUCCAGGUGUAGAGGUGAAAUGCGUAGAGAUCUGGAGGAAUAACGAUGGCGAAGGCAGCCAUCUGGCCUAACACUGACGCUGAGGUACGAAAGCAUGGGGAGCAAACAGG
Molecule: ribosomal RNA, 430 nt
Filed under: Pseudomonadota bacterium
Lineage: Bacteria; Pseudomonadati; Pseudomonadota
Description: Proteobacteria bacterium partial 16S ribosomal RNA
Rfam family: Bacterial small subunit ribosomal RNA
Source: RNAcentral